This 65-nucleotide transfer RNA is filed under the name Crotalus horridus (timber rattlesnake). Its description in RNAcentral is "tRNA-Trp". The record is from RNAcentral. Lineage: Eukaryota; Metazoa; Chordata; Lepidosauria; Squamata; Viperidae.
AGAAACUUAAGUUAUAUCAAACUAAGGGCCUUCAAAGCCCAAAAAAAAGCACACUUUAGUUUCUG